RNAcentral lists this long non-coding RNA (469 nucleotides) under Dromaius novaehollandiae (emu). RNAcentral's name for it is "lncRNA (ENSDNVG00000001431.1)". Lineage: Eukaryota; Metazoa; Chordata; Aves; Casuariiformes; Dromaiidae. The record is from RNAcentral.
UGCACAUGGAAUGAUGUGUUCCAGUUAACUUUUUUUUGUCUUAUUUUAAGAACCUAUAAUGCUAAUUCUACUGUAGUAAUGCCUUAAUAGUAUAUCUGCCAGUGAUACUGCAUUCUUCUAGGCUAUUUCUCUAAGAAAUAUAUUUUGCAAGACCAUCUUCUACAUUAGGAAUGUUUUCAGAGAAAAAAGACUACCGGUUUGGAAAUCCAGCCCAUGUGGAGUUGUACAUAGCUUGAUCUCUGAGGAACUGUGUGAGAGAUCUUGCCGGUGUCUGUAAAAGGAAACUAGGAGGGAAGCUGCCUUACCCAAAGAGCUGCAACAGGUCGAGCACACAGCCAGGAUUUCCAGUCCACUGAACCACGCUGCAUAGCAGGGCUCCRCUAUGAGCAUGUUGCAUAAAGUGGCACAGAUAAUAGCUGCAGUUUACAGAAGAAAGCAAUUAUAUUGUAAACAAGUAUUUUGGGGAGGA